GAUGAACGCUGGCGGCGUGCCUAAUACAUGCAAGUCGAGCGAACAGACGAGGAGCUUGCUCCUUUGACGUUAGCGGCGGACGGGUGAGUAACACGUGGGUAACCUACCUAUAAGACUGGGAUAACUUCGGGAAACCGGAGCUAAUACCGGAUAAUAUUUCGAACCGCAUGGUUCGAUAGUGAAAGAUGGCUUUGCUAUCACUUAUAGAUGGACCUGCGCCGUAUUAGCUAGUUGGUAAGGUAACGGCUUACCAAGGCAACGAUACGUAGCCGACCUGAGAGGGUGAUCGGCCACACUGGAACUGAGACACGGUCCAGACUCCUACGGGAGGCAGCAGUAGGGAAUCUUCCGCAAUGGGCGAAAGCCUGACGGAGCAACGCCGCGUGAGUGAUGAAGGUCUUCGGAUCGUAAAACUCUGUUAUUAGGGAAGAACAAACGUGUAAGUAACUGUGCACGUCUUGACGGUACCUAAUCAGAAAGCCACGGCUAACUACGUGCCAGCCGCCGCGGUAA
This 513-nucleotide ribosomal RNA is filed under the name uncultured bacterium. RNAcentral describes it as "partial 16S ribosomal RNA". It matches the Rfam family "Bacterial small subunit ribosomal RNA", at positions 28 to 523 of the family's 1533-position model. The record is from RNAcentral.